CCUUUGUACACACCGCCCGUCGCUACUACCGAUUGAAUGGCUCAGUGAGGCCUUCGGACUGGCUCAGGGAGGGCGGCAACGUCCACCCAGAGCCGGAAAGUUAUCCAAACUCGGUCAUUUAGAGG
Molecule: ribosomal RNA, 125 nt
Filed under: Lulworthiaceae sp.
Lineage: Eukaryota; Fungi; Ascomycota; Sordariomycetes; Lulworthiales; Lulworthiaceae
Description: partial small subunit ribosomal RNA
Rfam family: Eukaryotic small subunit ribosomal RNA
Source: RNAcentral